This 224-nucleotide ribosomal RNA is filed under the name Bacillus zhangzhouensis. RNAcentral describes it as "partial 16S ribosomal RNA". It matches the Rfam family "Bacterial small subunit ribosomal RNA", at positions 172 to 389 of the family's 1533-position model. Lineage: Bacteria; Bacillati; Bacillota; Bacilli; Caryophanales; Bacillaceae. The record is from RNAcentral.
GAUAGUUCCUUGAACCGCAUGGUUCAAGGAUGAAAGACGGUUUCGGCUGUCACUUACAGAUGGACCCGCGGCGCAUUAGCUAGUUGGUGGGGUAAUGGCUCACCAAGGCGACGAUGCGUAGCCGACCUGAGAGGGUGAUCGGCCACACUGGGACUGAGACACGGCCCAGACUCCUACGGGAGGCAGCAGUAGGGAAUCUUCCGCAAUGGACGAAAGUCUGACGG